AGCGACAGGCUUAACACACGCAAGUCGAGGGGUAACAGGGUAGCAAUACCGCUGACGACCGGCGCACGGGUGAGUAACGCGUAUGCAACCUGCCUAUAACUGGGGAAUAGCUCCCUGAAAGGGGAAUUAACACCGCAUAACACUAUUGAUUCGCAUGGAUUAGUAGUUAAAUGUAGCGAUACAGGUUAUAGAUGGGCAUGCGUGACAUUAGCUAGUUGGUGAGGUAACGGCUCACCAAGGCUACGAUGUCUAGGGGUUCUGAGAGGAACGGUCCCCCCACACUGGUACUGAGACACGGACCAGACUCCUACGGGAGGCAGCAGUGAGGAAUAUUGGUCAAUGGGCGCAAGCCUGAACCAGCCAUGUCGCGUGCAGGAAGAACCUCGCCCUAGUGGGUUAGUAAACUGUCUUUUAUAGUAGAAGAAACACAUCUACGCGUAGAUGUCUGCCAGUAUACUAUGAAUAAGCAUCGGCUAACUCCGUGCCAGCCGCGGC
RNAcentral lists this ribosomal RNA (495 nucleotides) under uncultured bacterium. RNAcentral describes it as "bacterial SSU rRNA". It matches the Rfam family "Bacterial small subunit ribosomal RNA", at positions 39 to 518 of the family's 1533-position model. The record is from RNAcentral.